This 568-nucleotide ribosomal RNA is filed under the name uncultured bacterium. RNAcentral's name for it is "bacterial SSU rRNA". It matches the Rfam family "Bacterial small subunit ribosomal RNA", at positions 94 to 680 of the family's 1533-position model. The record is from RNAcentral.
AGUGGCGAACGGGUGAGUAACACGUGACCAACCUGCCCCGCACCCCGGGACAACCGCCGGAAACGGCGGCUAAUACCGGAUACUCCGGGCCUCGCGCAUGCGCGGCCCGGGAAAGCCCAGACGGUGCGGGAUGGGGUCGCGGCCCAUUAGGUAGUAGGCGGGGCAACGGCCCACCUAGCCUGCGAUGGGUAGCCGGCCUGAGAGGGCGAUCGGCCACAUUGGGACUGAGAUACGGCCCAGACUCCUACGGGAGGCAGCAGUGGGGAAUAUUGCGCAAUGGGGGCAACCCUGACGCAGCAACGCCGCGUGCGGGACGAAGGCCUUCGGGUUGUAAACCGCUUUCAGCAGGGAAGAACCAUGACGGUACCUGCAGAAGAAGCCCCGGCUAACUACGUGCCAGCAGCCGCGGUAAUACGUAGGGGGCGAGCGUUAUCCGGAUUCAUUGGGCGUGAAGCGCGCGUAGGCGGCCCGCUAAGCGGGACCUCUAACCUGGGGGCUCAACCUCCAGCCGGGUCCCGAACUGGCGAGCUCGAGUGCGGUAGGGGCAGGCGGAAUUCCCGUUGUAGCG